RNAcentral lists this ribosomal RNA (253 nucleotides) under uncultured bacterium. Its description in RNAcentral is "partial 16S ribosomal RNA". It matches the Rfam family "Bacterial small subunit ribosomal RNA", at positions 524 to 776 of the family's 1533-position model. The record is from RNAcentral.
UACGAAGGGUGCUAGCGUUGCUCGGAAUCACUGGGCGUAAAGCGCACGUAGGCGGAUCUUUAAGUCAGGGGUGAAAUCCCGAGGCUCAACCUCGGAACUGCCCUUGAUACUGGGGAUCUCGAGUCCGGAAGAGGUUGGUGGAACUCCGAGUGUAGAGGUGAAAUUCGUAGAUAUUCGGAAGAACACCAGUGGCGAAGGCGGCCAACUGGUCCGGCACUGACGCUGAGGUGCGAAAGCGUGGGGAGCAAACGGG